UACGUAGGGGGCAAGCGUUGUCCGGAAUCAUUGGGCGUAAAGCGCGCGUAGGCGGCCCGGUAAGUCCGCUGUAAAAGUCCAGGGCUCAACCCUGGAAAGCCGGUGGAUACUGCCGGGCUAGAGUCCGGAAGAGGCGAGUGGAAUUCCUGGUGUAGCGGUGGAAUGCGCAGAUAUCAGGAGGAACACCAAUAGCGAAGGCAGCUCGCUGGGACGGUACUGACGCUAAGGCGCGAAAGCGUGGGGAGCGAACAGG
This 253-nucleotide ribosomal RNA is filed under the name uncultured bacterium. RNAcentral describes it as "partial 16S ribosomal RNA". It matches the Rfam family "Bacterial small subunit ribosomal RNA", at positions 524 to 776 of the family's 1533-position model. The record is from RNAcentral.